This 305-nucleotide ribosomal RNA is filed under the name uncultured bacterium. Its description in RNAcentral is "bacterial SSU rRNA". It matches the Rfam family "Bacterial small subunit ribosomal RNA", at positions 333 to 654 of the family's 1533-position model. The record is from RNAcentral.
CUCCACCUACGGGGGGCAGCAGUCGGGAAUAUUGCGCAAUGGAGGAAACUCUGACGCAGUGACGCCGCGUAUAGGAAGAAGGUUUUCGGAUUGUAAACUAUUGUCCACAGGGAAGAAAAAAGACUGUACCUGUGAAGAAAGCUCCGGCUAACUACGUGCCAGCAGCCGCGGUAAUACGUAGGGAGCAAGCGUUAUCCGGAUUUAUUGGGUGUAAAGGGUGCGUAGACGGGAAUACAAGUUGGUUGUGAAAGCCCUCGGCUUAACUGAGGAACUGCAACCAAAACUAUAUUUCUUGAGUAUCGGAG